ACGGGAGGCAGCAGUGGGGAAUAUUGGGCAAUGGGCGAAAGCCUGACCCAGCGACGCCGCGUGAGCGAAGAAGGUCUUCGGAUUGUAAAGCUCUGUGUACAGGAACGAUAAUGACGGUACCUGUAUAGAAAGCCACGGCUAACUACGUGCCAGCAGCCGCGGUAAUACGUAGGUGGCAAGCGUUAUCCGGAUUUACUGGGUGUAAAGGGUGUGUAGGCGGGGGAGCAAGUCAGAUGUGAAAUCCAUGGGCUCAACUCAUGGACUGCGUCUGAAACUGUUCUUCUUGAGUGUCGGAGGGGUAAUCGGAAUUCCUGGUGUAGCGGUGAAAUGCGUAGAUAUCAGGAGGAACACCGGUGGCGAAGGCGGAUUACUGGACGACAACUGACGCUGAGACACGAAAGCGUGGGGAGCAAACAGGAUUAGAUACCCUGGUA
RNAcentral lists this ribosomal RNA (434 nucleotides) under uncultured Oscillospiraceae bacterium. RNAcentral's name for it is "bacterial SSU rRNA". It matches the Rfam family "Bacterial small subunit ribosomal RNA", at positions 341 to 792 of the family's 1533-position model. RNAcentral also lists the same sequence under 1 other name. Lineage: Bacteria; Bacillati; Bacillota; Clostridia; Eubacteriales; Oscillospiraceae. The record is from RNAcentral.